Molecule: long non-coding RNA, 226 nt
Filed under: Parus major (Great Tit)
Lineage: Eukaryota; Metazoa; Chordata; Aves; Passeriformes; Paridae
Description: lncRNA (ENSPMJG00000006374.1)
Source: RNAcentral
GCAACAGAAGACAUUUCUUUCACUAUUUGGGCCAAACUGAAAUAAUCCUCAUGACUCUUGGCCAGCAGAAGGCACAGAACAGAUCUAAGAUCCUGAUGUAAACCUGCCUAGCUGGAAUUUCUCCAAGUGUCUGUCAUUGAGGAAGGAUACUGCAGAAUCAACCUAGACUGGAAAGUCAGGCUGUAGCUUGGAGUGAGUAAAAGGAGAAAAGGGUAACCUGCAGCCG